This 490-nucleotide long non-coding RNA is filed under the name Homo sapiens (human). RNAcentral describes it as "LNC_000937". Lineage: Eukaryota; Metazoa; Chordata; Mammalia; Primates; Hominidae. The record is from RNAcentral.
CAUCAACAUAUUACCCUGAGUACAUAUUAACUUGGGGUUAAGACAUUUUCCAUUCAUCUUCAAUGUUGUACUUCAAAUGAAGACCCAUUUUAAGUAUAUUUGACCAUACCUCAUUAACAUUUAUUUUUGAUUUUGCAGAAGAUUCUAAGAAUGCACAGUUGUUCCAUUGUCUUGCUAGAUUUUGACCUUGUUCCUUCCCUACAACUCUUUCAUCUUCCAAGUCACACUUAUUACCAACAAGAAUCAUUGGAACAUCAUCAGUGUCUUUAACUCGAAGAAUCUGUUCUCUCAGGUCUUGUAAAUCGUUAAAUGUGGACUGUGCUGUGAUGGAAUAAACUAAUGCAAAUCCUUGUCCAUUUUUCAUGUAUAAAUCCCUCAUUGCUGUAAAUUGCUCCGUUCCUGCAGUAUCCAAGAUUUCAAGCAUACACUGUUGUGCAUCUACUUCAACUUGCUUUCUAUAAGAAUCUUCUAUCGUAGGAUCGUAUUUUUC